RNAcentral lists this small RNA (200 nucleotides) under Staphylococcus carnosus subsp. carnosus TM300. RNAcentral describes it as "RNA Staph. aureus D". It matches the Rfam family "RNA Staph. aureus D". Lineage: Bacteria; Bacillati; Bacillota; Bacilli; Caryophanales; Staphylococcaceae. The record is from Rfam by way of RNAcentral.
GUUUGCUAUAAUAAAUUUCAACUUCCUUAGUCAAUAGAUUAAGGAGGUUAUCUCCUUUGUGUUGUUUACAAUAAACAAACAAAAUUUUCGCUCGAAUGCACGUCCAGUACCUAGUCCUUACUGUUUACGUGUAUCAAAUUCAUUUCCCGUAAAAGACCAAGUAAUGAUUGUGUCUCCCCACAUUCAUAUACUUGGUCUUU